UCCUAAUACAGGGAGGUAGUGACAAGAAAUAACAAUACAGGGCCUUUCGGCUUUGUAAUUGGAAUGAGUCGAGUAUAAACCCCUUUACAAGUAUCAAUUGGAGGGCAAGUCUGGUGCCAGCAGCCGCGGUAAUUCCAGCUCCAAUAGCGUAUAUUAAAGUUGUUGCAGUUAAAAAGCUCGUAGUUGGAUUUCUGCUAAUACUCUAUGUAAAUGCUUUUGCCUUUACAU
RNAcentral lists this ribosomal RNA (228 nucleotides) under Cryptosporidium sp. chipmunk genotype II. Its description in RNAcentral is "partial 18S small subunit ribosomal RNA". It matches the Rfam family "Eukaryotic small subunit ribosomal RNA", at positions 449 to 678 of the family's 1831-position model. Lineage: Eukaryota; Apicomplexa; Conoidasida; Eucoccidiorida; Cryptosporidiidae. The record is from RNAcentral.